UGACGAGUGGCGCACGGGCGCGGAACGCGUAUGGAACCUGCCCCUGUCAGGGGAAUAGCCCAUGGAAACGUGGAUUAAUGCCCCAUGGUAUCCCGGCCCUGCAUGGGCGUCGGGAUUAAAGAUUUAUCGGACAGGGAUGGCCAUGCGUACCAUUAGCUAGUUGGUAGGGUAACGGCCUACCAAGGCAGCGAUGGUUAGGGGCCCUGAGAGGGGGAUCCCCCACACUGGUACUGAGACACGGACCAGACUCCUACGGGAGGCAGCAGUGAGGAAUAUUGGACAAUGGUGGUAACACUGAUCCAGCCAUGCCGCGUGCAGGAUGACGGCCCUAUGGGUUGUAAACUGCUUUUGUACGGGAAGAAACCCAGGUACGCGUACCUGGUUGACGGUACCGUAAGAAUAAGGACCGGCUAACUCCGUGCCAGCAGCCGCGGUAAUACGGAGGGUCCGAGCGUUAUCCGGAAUCAUUGGGUUUAAAGGGUCCGUAGGCGGGCCUGUAAGUCAGAGGUGAAAGGCCACGGCUCAACCGUGGGACUGCCUUUGAUACUGCAGGUCUUGAGUCAUGGUGGGGUUGCCGGAACAUGUGGUGUAGCGGUGAAAUGCAUAGAUAUCACAUAGAACACCGAUCGCGAAGGCAGGUGGCCAACCAUGAACUGACGCUGAUGGACGAAAGCGUGGGUAGCGAACGGGAUUAGAUACCCCGGUAGUCCACGCCGUAAACGAUGGACACUAGCUGUGGGGUCUUCGGACUCCGUGGCCAAGCGAAAGUGAUAAGUGUCCCACCUGGGGAGUACGUUCGCAAGAAUGAAACUCAAAGGAAUUGACGGGGGCCCGCACAAGCGGUGGAGCAUGUGGUUUAAUUCGAUGAUACGCGAGGAACCUUACCAGGGCUUAAAUGCAGUCUGCAUAGGGUAGAGAUACCCUUUUCUUCGGACCGACUGCAAGUGCUGCAUGGUUGUCGUCAGCUCGUGCCGUGAGGUGUCA
RNAcentral lists this ribosomal RNA (984 nucleotides) under uncultured bacterium. RNAcentral describes it as "bacterial SSU rRNA". It matches the Rfam family "Bacterial small subunit ribosomal RNA", at positions 89 to 1077 of the family's 1533-position model. The record is from RNAcentral.